AGAAAAGUAAGCUAAGCAUAAGCUAAUGGGUUCAUACCCCAUAAAUAGAGGAAUCUCUCUUCUCUA
This 66-nucleotide transfer RNA is filed under the name Brephallus tramlapensis. RNAcentral describes it as "tRNA-Met". The record is from RNAcentral. Lineage: Eukaryota; Metazoa; Arthropoda; Insecta; Blattodea; Blaberidae.